GGAGUGGCGAACGGGUGAGUAACACGUGGGUAACCUGCCCAUCAGAAGGGGAUAACACUUGGAAACAGGUGCUAAUACCGUAUAACAAUCGAAACCGCAUGGUUUUGAUUUGAAAGGCGCUUUCGGGUGUCGCUGAUGGAUGGACCCGCGGUGCAUUAGCUAGUUGGUGAGGUAACGGCUCACCAAGGCCACGAUGCAUAGCCGACCUGAGAGGGUGAUCGGCCACAUUGGGACUGAGACACGGCCCAAACUCCUACGGGAGGCAGCAGUAGGGAAUCUUCGGCAAUGGACGAAAGUCUGACCGAGCAACGCCGCGUGAGUGAAGAAGGUUUUCGGAUCGUAGAACUCUGUUGUUAGAGAAGAACAAGGAUGAGAGUAACUGUUCAUCCCUUGACGGUAUCUAACCAGAAAGCCACGGCUAACUACGUGCCAGCAGCCGCGGUAAUACGUAGGUGGCAAGCGUUGUCCGGAUUUAUUGGGCGUAAAGCGAGCGCAAGCGGUUUCUUAAGUCUGAUGUGAAAGCCCCCGGCUCAACCGGGGAGGGUCAUUGGAAACUGGGAGACUUGAGUGCAGAAGAGGAGAGUGGAAUUCCAUGUGUAGCGGUGAAAUGCGUAGAUAUAUGGAGGAACACCAGUGGCGAAGGCGGCUCUCUGGUCUGUAACUGACG
This 667-nucleotide ribosomal RNA is filed under the name uncultured Bacilli bacterium. RNAcentral's name for it is "bacterial SSU rRNA". It matches the Rfam family "Bacterial small subunit ribosomal RNA", at positions 92 to 745 of the family's 1533-position model. Lineage: Bacteria; Bacillati; Bacillota; Bacilli. The record is from RNAcentral.